GACGAACGCUGGCGGCGUGCUUAACACGUGCAAGUCGAACGAGAUCCAUGGUGUAGCAAUACACCGGAAGAUCUAGUGGCGAACGGGUGAGGAACACGUGAGAAACCUGCCCCAGACUUUGGGAUAACAAGUGGAAACGCUUGCUAAUACCGAAUGACGUCGGAGAACCGCAUGGUUCACUGACGAAAGGAAUUCCGGUUUGGGAGGGUCUCGCGGCCUAUCAGCUUGUUGGUGGGGUAAUGGCCUACCAAGGCAACGACGGGUAGCUGGUCUGAGAGGAUGAUCAGCCACACUGGGACUGGGACACGGCCCAGACUCCUACGGGAGGCAGCAGUGGGGAAUCUUGCGCAAUGGGCGAAAGCCUGACGCAGCAACGCCGCGUGCGGGAUGAAGGCCUUCGGGCUGUAAACCGCUUUCAGUUAGGACGAAGCUUUAUUGGUUAAUAACCAAUUGGAGUGACGGUACUUUCAGAAGAAGCCCCGGCUAA
RNAcentral lists this ribosomal RNA (487 nucleotides) under uncultured bacterium. RNAcentral's name for it is "partial 16S ribosomal RNA". It matches the Rfam family "Bacterial small subunit ribosomal RNA", at positions 28 to 500 of the family's 1533-position model. The record is from RNAcentral.